Molecule: long non-coding RNA, 758 nt
Organism: Conger conger (European conger)
Lineage: Eukaryota; Metazoa; Chordata; Actinopteri; Anguilliformes; Congridae
Exons: 4
Source: RefSeq, a predicted model, not a curated record
UACCCGGAAGAAGAGGACCGAACACGUUCGGAUGAGCAAGCAUGCUAGCGUCUACGGUUCGAUUUUCGGAGGUGUUAUUUGUGAUUACCACGAAGCCAAUUUGAUAAGAUAGGGUAAUAUUAAUGGCACUAUGUGCAGUUGGUCAUUAAACAACGUUUGAAAAAAAAAAAAAAAAACAUCGGGUAUUGUAGGGGAUGGACGACUCGGAAGUAACGGCAGUGGUCCUAUCUCGGCGCUUUGGCUAUCCGGACGGAAUUGGCUGAAUUGGAUGUGUCGAUUUGAGGUCUUGUGACUUAUGCCUAAAGUGUAGGUGAGGUGGUAUUGGACACCAGUUGCGUCUUGUAACGGGCAUGUCUGGGUAACGGUCAUCUUGCUCCCUUGAGGUCUGCCCCAGCCAGAUGGAGGGUCUCUGGCGUGGCUUCUCUGCCAUUCAGUCAACUGGCUUUACAAGUUAAUCUGUUGCCAUAGGGUUUUUGUGUUCUGUAUUAACCCAGAGACUGCAUGAACAUCCCAGGAGUUUCUGAAAUGUUCAAUCACCCUCGCUGGUACCAACAAACAUUCCAUCAAAGUCAUUUGAUCACAUUUCUUCCUUGUUAUGACGUUUGGUCUGAACAAUUUAACCUCUUGGCCAUGUGUGCAUGCUUUGGCUGAUUUGAUAUUUGCCUUAAUGAGCUGGUGUACUGGGUCAUGUUUAGCCCUCACCAAUAGUUGGGAGGUAAUGUAUCAUUAAAACUGAAAAUUAAAAAAAUUCAAACAUG